AGGACGAACGCUGGCGGCGUGCUUAACACAUGCAAGUCGAGCGAACCUUCGGGUUAGCGGCGAACGGGUGAGUAACACGUGGGCAACCUGCCUCGAGCUCUGGGAUAACCCCGGGAAACCGGGGCUAAUACCGGAUAUGACCCGAGAAGACAUCUUCUCGGGUGGAAAGUUUUUCGGCUCGAGAUGGGCCCGCGGCCUAUCAGCUUGUUGGUGGGGUAACGGCCUACCAAGGCGACGACGGGUAGCCGGCCUGAGAGGGCGACCGGCCACACUGGGACUGAGACACGGCCCAGACUCCUACGGGAGGCAGCAGUGGGGAAUAUUGCGCAAUGGACGAAAGUCUGACGCAGCCACGCCGCGUGCAGGAAGACACCCCUCAGGGGCGUAAACUGCUUUUGUACGAGAAGACACCCCAUUCUGUGGGUCUGACGGUAUCGUACGAAUAAGGACCGGCUAACUCCGCGCCAGCAGCCGC
This 475-nucleotide ribosomal RNA is filed under the name uncultured bacterium. RNAcentral describes it as "SSU rRNA". It matches the Rfam family "Bacterial small subunit ribosomal RNA", at positions 26 to 518 of the family's 1533-position model. The record is from RNAcentral.